Molecule: ribosomal RNA, 267 nt
Filed under: Bufotes viridis (European green toad)
Lineage: Eukaryota; Metazoa; Chordata; Amphibia; Anura; Bufonidae
Description: partial large subunit ribosomal RNA
Rfam family: Bacterial large subunit ribosomal RNA
Source: RNAcentral
CGGCCGCGGUAUCCUAACCGUGCGAAGGUAGCGUAAUCACUUGUUCUUUAAAUGUGGACUAGUAUGAAUGGCACCACGAAGGUUAUACUGUCUCCUUUUUCUAAUCAGUGAAACUAAUCUCCCCGUGAAGAAGCGGGGAUAAAACUAUAAGACGAGAAGACCCUAUGGAGCUUUAAACAACAUAGCACUUGCCACACACCAUUAAAAUUCCAGAAUCUUUAAUUCUCUGAGCAAUAUGACUAUAAGUUUUUGGUUGGGGUGACCGCG